CAGUUAUUUGCUGAGGUCUUGAGGAGAUGUUUUUGUUCAGUGCUUGGCGAGAGGAAAGCCACCCGGGUGAGCUGCGGUUUCCUCCGGGCGGCUCCGCCGCUCUGGCCCUCAAUUCCCGAAGCCCGGGCCUGACCCGAGGCGCGCCGGGACCCCCAGGAAGGUGGGGGCGAUGGUGCAGAUGGAGACACAACUGCAGAGCAUUUUUGAGGAGGUGGUGCAUGUUUAUGGAUACCCGUGAAGAUGAAAAAACAAAACUUAUCAGCUGUUUGGGGGCCUUCGGACAGUUUUGGGCUGGUCUUUCUCAGGAGUCUCAUGAACAGUGCAUCCGGUGGAUUCUUGAAUUCGUUCAUGGUCAGCAUAGUCCUAAAAGAAUUUUUCUGUAUGACUGCUUAGCAAUGGCAGUCGAGACUGGUCUUCUUCCACCCAGGUAUGUUUAAUGGGUGUUCGAGAUCUCUUAAAGGUUAUUUUGGACAAAAUCUUGACAAUUCCUAAUACAGUGAGCUCAGCUGUUGUACAGCAGCUUCUGGCAGCAAGAGAGGUCGCUGCAGUCUUCUGCCAGUUGUAAAUAACUCAUGCACCAUUUCUGACUCAUGGAAAUUGGAUCCUGCAACUCUUUGUUUUCCUUUGAAAGGCCUUUUGCCAUAUGAUAAGAAUUUUUAGGUUCCUACAACACAGUCUGAGAAAUAAAAGUUUACAGAUGAAUGACUAUAAGAUUGCCCUGUUGUGUAAUGCGUAUUCUACAAAUUCAGAAUGUUUUACAUUACCCAUGGGAGGUCUGGUAGAAACUAUUUAUGGAAAUGGAAUUAUGAGGAUACCUCUCCCUGGAAUGAGCUGUGUGGAUUCAGGAUGUAUUACUCCCUUACCAGUGAACCUUCUGGAUUCACUGACAGUUAAUGCCAAAAUGAGGUAUGUGCUUUUUAUUUAUUUGGUCUCAUGUCAAGAAAUUGCUGUUGAUAUAGACCUUGAUUUCCUUUCAUGUGUAUAUUUUAUGGCUAGGUGCAUUUUUGAAAUAAUUACAUUUAAUUUGUUAUAAAAAUGAAUAUUGUAGGAAUUGUAGAAUAUAUAAAUAAACCGAAAGAAAAUGAUAGUUGCCAUAAUCCCUCCAUGAGAAAGAUUAUAAAAUUUUUGUGUAUAUUCUCAAUGUCUUUUCCUUUGUGUAAGUAUAUGAAUAUAUGCUUUUUUUUUUUUUUUGACAAACAUGGACUUACGCUGCAAUACUGUAACACAUGGAAGGCUUUUAGAUUUGAAUGCUGUGGUUUCUAAAAGACAGAAAAGGCUCUGUUGAGUGUGAGUCUAGAACCUCAAGUGCCUAGGGACCAGACUGGUGAUGUUAAUUAACAAAGCCUGGUGCUGACUGAGGGUCCAGGUGUAUGUGCCCACAGAAGCACGUGUGUAUGGAGAGAACUGAGGUCGGCUGGGGCAUGCAGAGCUCAUAUUCUGAUGCUGCCACUUUAGCUCAUUUCUGUAAUAUAGGAAUGUGGACUAGUAUAGCUAGAUUCUCUGACUUUUUUCAAGAAGGGCUGGAAAUCCAAAUUUUUUAUUUCUAAUCUUUCAGCUUUUAAAUAUGGCUCAAACUUAAAAACACCAUGUGGGACAAAGAGACUGCAUCUGUGGGCCUCCAGGUGGGACAUCAGUUCUAGAAAAGCCACACUCCUUUUCAAAUAGUAAACACUGAUAGAAUUAUACAUGUGCUUUACUUGCAUGCAUGACAUAUCUGAGGAAAGCCAUGCUGGAACCUAACAUUUAGGUCUUUGCAAUGAUUUAAGUAAUUCUAUGACUUAAGUUUUUUAAUAUCGCAAAUGGUUGUAGUUCCAUAUAUGAAAAAGAAAAACAGACUAAAAUCACUCAAGUAUGUGUAUGAGUUGUACUCACAUUUUGUUCUUCCAUGAGCAGACAGAUCCUGGUGCACAUUUAAAGUCCCAUAAAAACCAGAGUUAUUGUAUUUUUAUGAAAAUAACGUGUGUGUUAUAUGUGUUUUGCCAACCUCGCAACCCCAUUGCACAUUAUUUUCCUAGACACUGUGUGCAUUGUAUGUGUGGGUGUAUUAUUUACAUGGGGGCGUUAUUUGAAAAAAUACGGUAGUCUCAGGUUGUACAGUGUAUCACUAGUAAGUUUACUGCACAAUUUAAAUAUGUUAAGUGCAUCAGCUUCAUUUUAACCAUUUAAAUUUAGAUUUAUACUGAAUAAGUUACCCAUAAGUAGAGGUAACGCCUGUAUUUAUACCCAAAACAUGAAUUUUUAUUUUCUCCCCUUAUAUUUCUCCUCAGCCUUAUUCACAGCAUUGUAACCAGGGUGAUAAAACUUGCUCCUGCGAAGUCCAGUGUGACCUUGGCUCCAGUACUAGUAGAAAUUCACAGUCGUUUAUUAGUCUAUAUGGAAAUAGAAUCUUUGGGCAUCAAAGGAUUUAUCAUUUUUUUUUACAGGCUCUGAUUGAAUUCAGGGGACUUGGUGUAAAGACAUACUUCAGACCAUCAUGAGUUUUACUCCUCAUAAUUGGGCUUUACACACCCUUAGCUGUUUUCCAGGCCCACUACAGGUAAUUUGGUCUUGAAUUAGAUAUUGAAUACAUGUGAAAUCCUUCUUUCCAUUCAUAGUGGCAGUUUGUCUAAAGAAUUAGUUUUGGUGACAUCUGAAACAAAAUUAGCAUUGAUUUCCUUCUUUUUUUUUCUUAAUCUCUGUAAUUACUUCUGAAAUCUUUUGAGUUGUUCCUUGCUCUACUCUAGAGCUGUAUAUGUUCCUAAAUCUUUAAUUAUUGUGGUUUCAUCUUAAUUGUUAACAGUAUUAGAUUCUUGGGAGCAUCAACACAUUACCUGAAAAGCUCUAGUUCUGUAAUAGAACCAAAAUGGGGAGAAAUCUAAUUUAUCAUAUUUUUUUUGCAAAUAACAUACCUAUGUAAAUAACAUGCCCACACAUAUAACAUGCAGAAAUGAUGAAGUGAAACAGUUCUGGCAUAAUGUGUGCACUAUUUGCAUAAAAAUAUGGUAAUGUAGCUUCACAGAAUAUACAUAUGCUACACUUAACUGAAUAUUUAAA
RNA transcript from Trichechus manatus latirostris (Florida manatee), 3033 nucleotides. It is a transcript of the gene named mediator of RNA polymerase II transcription subunit 23-like, with no coding region annotated. The record is from RefSeq and is a predicted model, not a curated record. The transcript is spliced from 7 exons. NCBI's taxonomy places the organism in Eukaryota, Metazoa, Chordata, Mammalia, Sirenia, Trichechidae.